ACGAACGCUGGCGGCAUGCCUAACACAUGCAAGUCGAACGAGACCUUCGGGUCUAGUGGCGCACGGGUGCGUAACGCGUGGGAAUCUGCCCUUGGGUUCGGAAUAACAGUUAGAAAUGACUGCUAAUACCGGAUGAUGUCUUCGGACCAAAGAUUUAUCGCCCAGGGAUGAGCCCGCGUAGGAUUAGGUAGUUGGUGGGGUAAAGGCCUACCAAGCCGACGAUCCUUAGCUGGUCUGAGAGGAUGAUCAGCCACACUGGGACUGAGACACGGCCCAGACUCCUACGGGAGGCAGCAGUGGGGAAUAUUGGACAAUGGGCGAAAGCCUGAUCCAGCAAUGCCGCGUGAGUGAUGAAGGCCUUAGGGUUGUAAAGCUCUUUUACCCGGGAUGAUAAUGAUGAUGGUAACACCAGAAGAAGCCCCGGCUAACUCCGU
Molecule: ribosomal RNA, 434 nt
Filed under: uncultured bacterium
Lineage: Bacteria
Description: bacterial SSU rRNA
Rfam family: Bacterial small subunit ribosomal RNA
Source: RNAcentral